CCUACGGGUGGCAGCAGUGGGGAAUUUUGGACAAUGGGGGGAACCCUGAUCCAGCCAUGCCGCGUGUGUGAAGAAGGCCCUCGGGUUGUAAAGCACUUUCAGUGAGGAAGAACGCCUGGUGGUUAAUACCCAUCAGGAAAGACAUCACUCACAGAAGAAGCACCGGCUAACUCCGUGCCAGCAGCCGCGGUAAUACGGAGGGUGCGAGCGUUAAUCGGAAUUACUGGGCGUAAAGCGCGCGUAGGUGGCUUGAUAAGCCGGUUGUGAAAGCCCCGGGCUCAACCUGGGAACGGCAUCCGGAACUGUCAAGCUAGAGUGCAGGAGAGGAAGGUAGAAUUCCCGGUGUAGCGGUGAAAUGCGUAGAGAUCGGGAGGAAUACCAGUGGCGAAGGCGGCCUUCUGGACUGACACUGACACUGAGGUGCGAAAGCGUGGGUAGCAAACAGGAUUAGAUACCCGGGUAGUC
RNAcentral lists this ribosomal RNA (465 nucleotides) under Vreelandella stevensii. RNAcentral's name for it is "partial 16S ribosomal RNA". It matches the Rfam family "Bacterial small subunit ribosomal RNA", at positions 338 to 795 of the family's 1533-position model. Lineage: Bacteria; Pseudomonadati; Pseudomonadota; Gammaproteobacteria; Oceanospirillales; Halomonadaceae. The record is from RNAcentral.